RNAcentral lists this ribosomal RNA (478 nucleotides) under uncultured bacterium. RNAcentral's name for it is "bacterial SSU rRNA". It matches the Rfam family "Bacterial small subunit ribosomal RNA", at positions 21 to 507 of the family's 1533-position model. The record is from RNAcentral.
GGCUCAGGAUGAACGCUAGCUACAGGCUUAACACAUGCAAGUCGAGGGGCAGCAUGAACAUAGCUUGCUAUGUUUGAUGGCGACCGGCGCACGGGUGCGUAACACGUAUCCAAUCUGCCCGUCACUCGGGGAUAGCCUUCUGAAAGGAAGAUUAAUACCCGAUGGCAUGCAUUUCCGGCAUCGGAGAUGCAUUAAAGAUUUUAUCGGUGACGGAUGAGGAUGCGUACGAUUAGCUUGUUGGCGGGGUAACGGCCCACCAAGUCGACGAUCAGUAGCCGGACUGAGAGGUUGAACGGCCACAUUGGGACUGAGACACGGCCCAGACUCCUACGGGAGGCAGCAGUGAGGAAUAUUGGGCAAUGGGCGCAAGCCUGACCCAGCAAUGCCGCGUGAAGGAAGACGGUUUUCGGAUUGUAAACUUCUUUUAAGAGGGACGAUAAUGACGGUACCUCUUGAAUAAGCCACGGCUAACUACGUG